This 74-nucleotide transfer RNA is filed under the name Trueperella sp. RNAcentral describes it as "tRNA-Met". It matches the Rfam family "tRNA". Rfam says of the family: Transfer RNA (tRNA) molecules are approximately 80 nucleotides in length. Lineage: Bacteria; Bacillati; Actinomycetota; Actinomycetes; Actinomycetales; Actinomycetaceae. The record is from RNAcentral.
GGCGAGGUAGCUCAGUUGGUUAGAGCGCACGACUCAUAAUCGUGAGGUCGCGGGUUCGAACCCCGCUCUCGCUA